This is a non-coding RNA of Paramuricea clavata, 1117 nucleotides long. The record is from the annotation of a GenBank genome assembly. NCBI's taxonomy places the organism in Eukaryota, Metazoa, Cnidaria, Anthozoa, Malacalcyonacea, Plexauridae.
AAUACUUUUAAUUUGUUCUUACGUGGUUUUCCAGAUGUAGUGACGACAACAUUAAAGUUUAAAGAAGAAAAUUCUAACAUUUAAACCGACUAAACAAUAAUAUAGUAAACUUGCAUAAUUAAACAGCAACUAAAAAUGAUAGGUUUUACUAAAUCUUUUCCUGUGCAAUUAUUACUAGCAUUGGAGACAAGGAUAAUAGUUUGUUUGAAAGAGAAAAGAACAGGCUCUGAAGUAAGCCUAAAAGCGUUUAACUAGAAAUAGUAUUUCGAAAGUUAUUAAGCACAAAAGAUGAAUUGCGUUUAUUUUGAUACACCCUGUAUAUUCUCUCCAAGUACCACCACAAAGCAGAAAAUACUGUUUCAAAUACCUAAACUUCAAACUUUCUUGAACCCACUUAGAAUUGCCACGACGUUUUAAUUAAGUCCCCCCCCGAAAAAAAAAUUGAAUCCACAAUCGUCCACAAAAUAUAUUGAGACUUUUGGAAUCACUGCCCCCUAUUAGCCUUUCUGACGCCGCCAUUUUUGGGGUACUUUUUUGCCAAUCCUGCGAGCGUAACACCACAUAACUUCGACAUUUUAUAAUUUUGUGGGUGUAUGAUGGUAAAUUUAUUCUGUAAAUUGUUAGUUUGUUCUGAAAUAUUGCUUUUCACAUUGUUUUAAUCGUUUACGAAAAAUUACAGUGCCCCAAAAAUGGCGGCGUGCGAAAGACUAAUUUCAAUGUUGAAAGGCUACUAUAUGUUUGAGAAAUGAACACGUACAGCGUGACACCAAAACCGCAACUGUCCCAUUGGCAGUUAACGUUUAACGUAUGAUGUUUGAAAUAAAUAAUAUUAUAGUACAAAACAGCAUUGAAAUCGGGGAGGGGGGUUUGUGGAUAAUUGCAGGAUGCGCCACUGGCUUAAUUGAACAAAACGAACAGUUGUACAAGUAAACCCUUUUAGGUUUGUGCCAAUAACAGUUCUUAAUCUUAACGCGUUUUAUCGAAUCUUGAUUCGAUAAAACGCGUUAAGAUUAAGAACUGUUAUUGGCACAAACCUAAGAGGGUUUACUUGUAAACUUACUCAUUGUAACACUGAAAUAUUGAAAGGCAUUGCGCAAUUAAUAAAAAUUGCACGAAC